RNAcentral lists this unclassified non-coding RNA (334 nucleotides) under uncultured bacterium. RNAcentral describes it as "contains 16S-23S intergenic spacer region". The stretch from base 1 to 125 matches the Rfam family "5.8S ribosomal RNA", at positions 30 to 154 of the family's 154-position model. The record is from RNAcentral.
GCAUCGAUGAAGAACGCAGCGAAAUGCGAUAAGUAAUGUGAAUUGCAGAAUUCAGUGAAUCAUCGAAUCUUUGAACGCACAUUGCGCCCCUUGGUAUUCCGAGGGGCAUGCCUGUUCGAGCGUCAUUAUAACCCCUCAAGCUCAGCUUGGUGUUGGGGCCUGCUGCACUGGCAGCCCUUAAAAUCAGUGGCGGCGCCAUCUGGCUCUAAGCGUAGUAAUUCUUCUCGCUAUGGAGUCCUGGUGGAUGCUUGCCAUCAACCCCCAAUUUUUCUAUGGUUGACCUCGGAUCAGGUAGGGAUACCCGCUGAACUUAAGCAUAUCAAUAAGCGGAGGA